This 1693-nucleotide long non-coding RNA is filed under the name Mytilus galloprovincialis (Mediterranean mussel). The record is from RNAcentral. Lineage: Eukaryota; Metazoa; Mollusca; Bivalvia; Mytilida; Mytilidae.
CUAUAUUUAAUAUGUGCGUACCUUGAAAGGUCCUCAUGUCUGUCAGACAGUUUUCACUUGACCUCGACCUCAUUUCAUGGAUCAGUGAACAAGGUUAAGUUUUGGUGGUCAAGUCCAUAUCUCAGAUACUACAAGCAAUAGGGCUAGUAUAUUCGGUGUAUGGAAGGACUGUAAGGUGUACAUGUCCAACUGGCAGGUGUCAUCUGACCUUGACCUCAUUUUCAUGGUUCAGUGGUUAUAGUUUAAUUUUUGUGUUUUGGUCUGUUUUUCUCAUACUAUAUGCAAUAGGUCUACUAUAUUUGUUGUAUGGAAUGAUUGUAAGGUGUACCUAUCUAGCGGGCAGAUGUCAUCUGACCUUGACCUCAUUUUCAUGGUUCAGUGGUCAAAGUUAAGUUUUUGAGUUUUGGUCUUUUUAUCUAAUACUACAUGCCAUAGGUCAUCUAUAUUUGGUGUAUGGAAAUAUUUUAUGAUCUUUAUGUCAGUCGCGCAGAUUUUAUUUGACCGUGACCUCAUUUUCACGGUUCAUUGCACAGUGUUAAGUUUUUGUGUUUUGGUCUAUUUUUCUUAAACUAUAAGUAAUAGGUCAACUAUAUAUGUUGUAUAGAAGCAUUGUUAGCUGUACAUGUCUGCCUGGCAUGGUUCAUCUGACCUUGACCUCAUUUUCUAGGUUCAUUGGUCUUUGUUUAGUUAUCUUGGUUAAUGUUAAGUUUAUGUGACAGUUGUAUUAAAGCUUAGCUUUAUACUUAGGACUAUCAACAUAAUAUCAAUGAUUAGUAUAGAAGGCGAGACAUUUCAGCGUGUGCACUCUUGUGGUUAUUAUCUUGAAUAUUAUUAUAGAUAGAGAUAAACUGUAAACAGCAAAAAUGUUCAGCAAAGUAAGAUCUACAAAUAAGUCAACAGGACCAAAAUGGUCUGUUGAUUUCUUUAGGAGUUAUUGCCCUUUAUAGUCAAUUUUUAACCAUUUUGUAAAUCUUAGUUAUCUUUUACAAAAACCUUCUCCUCUGAAACUACUGGGUCAAAUUAAGCCAAACUUGGCCACAAUCAUCAUUGGGGUAAUUAGUUUAAAAAUUGUGUCCCGUGACCUGGCCAACCAACCAAGAUGGGGGCCAUGGCUAAAAAUAGAACAUAGGGGUGAAAUGUAGAUUUUGGCUUAUAACUCUGAAACCGCAGCCUUUAGAGCAAAUUUGACAUGGGGUAAAAUUGUUUAUCAGGUCAAGAUCUAUCUGCCCUGAAAUUUUCAGAUGAAUCUGACAACCUGUUGUUGGGUUGCUGCCCCUGAAUUGGUAAUUUUAAGGAAAUUUUGCUGUUUUUGGUUAUUAUCUUGAAUAUUAUUAUAGAUAGAUUAAACUGUAAACAUCAAUAAUGUUAAGCAAAGUAAGAUUUACAAAUAAGUCAACAUGACGGAAAUGGUCAAUUGACCCCUAAGGAGUUAUUGUCCUUUAUAGUCAAUUUUUAACAAUUUUCAUAAAAUUUGUAAAUUUUAACUAACAUUUUCCACUGAAACUACUGGGCCAAGUUCAUUAUAGAUAGAGAUAAUUGUAAGUAGCAAGAAUGUUCAGUAAAGUAAGAUGUACAAACACAUCACCAUCACUAAAACACAAAUUUUGUCAUGAAUCUAUCUGCUUCCUUUGUUUAAUAUUCACAUAGACCAAGGUGAGCGACACAGGCUCUUUAGAGCCUCUAGUUUACAGUU